GGAUGUAGCUCAGUGGUAGAAUGUUUGCCUAGCAUGCACAAGACCCUGGGUUCAAUUCCCAGUAUCACCA
Sciurus carolinensis (gray squirrel) is the source of this 70-nucleotide non-coding RNA. The record is from the annotation of a RefSeq genome assembly. NCBI's taxonomy places the organism in Eukaryota, Metazoa, Chordata, Mammalia, Rodentia, Sciuridae.